RNAcentral lists this ribosomal RNA (477 nucleotides) under uncultured bacterium. RNAcentral's name for it is "partial 16S ribosomal RNA". It matches the Rfam family "Bacterial small subunit ribosomal RNA", at positions 28 to 523 of the family's 1533-position model. The record is from RNAcentral.
GACGAACGCUGGCGGCGUGCUUAACACAUGCAAGUCGAACGGUAAGGCCCUUCGGGGUACACGAGUGGCGAACGGGUGAGUAACACGUGGGUGAUCCGCCCUGCGCUUCGGAUAAGCCUGGGAAACUGGGUCUAAUACCGGAUAGGACCCUGGGAUGCAUGUCCUGGGGUGGAAAGCUUUUGCGGUGUGGGAUGGGCCCGCGGCCUAUCAGCUUGUUGGUGGGGUGAUGGCCUACCAAGGCGACGACGGGUAGCCGGCCUGAGAGGGUGACCGGCCACACUGGGACUGAGAUACGGCCCAGACUCCUACGGGAGGCAGCAGUGGGGAAUAUCGCACAAUGGGCGCAAGCCUGAUGCAGCGACGCCGCGUGAGGGAUGACGGCCUUCGGGUUGUAAACCUCUUUCAGCACCGACGAAGCGCAAGUGACGGUAGGUGCAGAAGAAGGACCGGCCAACUACGUGCCAGCCGCCGCGGUAA